RNAcentral lists this transfer RNA (72 nucleotides) under Fusicatenibacter saccharivorans. RNAcentral describes it as "tRNA-Glu". It matches the Rfam family "tRNA". Rfam says of the family: Transfer RNA (tRNA) molecules are approximately 80 nucleotides in length. Their secondary structure includes four short double-helical elements and three loops (D, anti-codon, and T loops). Lineage: Bacteria; Bacillati; Bacillota; Clostridia; Lachnospirales; Lachnospiraceae. RNAcentral also lists the same sequence under 1 other name. The record is from RNAcentral.
GGCUCCAUAGUCAAGCGGUUAAGACGGCGGCCCUUCACGCCGCAGGCACGGGUCCGAUACCCGUUGGAGUCA